UUUUAAUUACAUGUAUUGCACUACCGUAAAUUUUUUUCAACUGGUAUCAGAGCUAGGUUGUUUUGAUAUGAAUUAAUAUGAUUUUAGAUCUAAUUUUUUAUUAUUAGAUUUAAUUAUUUAUGAUUUAGAUUAGAUCUAAAUUAGUUUAUUUUUAUAUCUGAUUAUUAUUUAUUUAGAUUAGAUGUUCUGAGUAGCAAAGUACUCGGAUUGAAUAAUCACCAGGCCAUCCGAUCAUAGGAGCAAGUAGGUUUUCAUGAUCCUCUCUUCUCAUUCAAUGGGGUGCUCUUCAUGAUGUGUAGGGGUGCCACUGUGAGAUCCCAUGAAGAAGAAAGUGAAAAGAGAAAACUUACUUUCUUAUAAAAUCAUAGAUCUUGAAACCUUAGGUGUU
Molecule: long non-coding RNA, 388 nt
Filed under: Elaeis guineensis (African oil palm)
Lineage: Eukaryota; Viridiplantae; Streptophyta; Magnoliopsida; Arecales; Arecaceae
Description: long non-coding RNA (EGUI_LNC065163)
Source: RNAcentral